RNAcentral lists this ribosomal RNA (770 nucleotides) under uncultured bacterium. RNAcentral's name for it is "bacterial SSU rRNA". It matches the Rfam family "Bacterial small subunit ribosomal RNA", at positions 28 to 774 of the family's 1533-position model. The record is from RNAcentral.
AACGAACGCUGGCGGCGUGCUUAACACAUGCAAGUCGAACGCGAAAGGGACUUCGGUCCCGAGUAGAGUGGCGCACGGGUGAGUAACGCGUAAGUAAUCUACCCCCGCAUUCGGAAUAACUCGUCGAAAGGUGAGCUAAUACCGGAUACGUUUAUCUUGAUGCGAAUGAUGAUAAAGAAAGGUGGCCUCUUCAUGAAAGCUACUGUGCAGGGAUGAGCUUGCGUACCAUUAGCUAGUUGGUAGGGUAAUGGCCUACCAAGGCGACGAUGGUUAGCGGGUCUGAGAGGAUGAUCCGCCACACUGGAACUGGAACACGGACCAGACUCCUACGGGAGGCAGCAGUGAGGAAUAUUGCGCAAUGGGGGCAACCCUGACGCAGCGACGCCGCGUGGAUGAUGAAGGCCCUUGGGUCGUAAAAUCCUGUCAGAUGGAAAGAAAUGUAUAGGUGUUAAUAUCGCCUGUAUUUGACGGUACCAUCAAAGGAAGCACCGGCUAACUCCGUGCCAGCAGCCGCGGUAAUACGGAGGGUGCGAGCGUUGUUCGGAAUUACUGGGCGUAAAGCGCGCGUAGGCGGUUUGCUUAGUCAGAUGUGAAAGCCCUCGGCUUAACCGGGGACGUGCAUUUGAAACUGGCAGACUUGAGUACUGGAGGGGGUGGUGGAAUUCCCGGUGUAGAGGUGAAAUUCGUAGAUAUCGGGAGGAAUACCGGUGGCGAAGGCGACCACCUGGCCAGAUACUGACGCUGAGGUGCGAAAGCGUGGGGAGCAAACA